Molecule: ribosomal RNA, 555 nt
Filed under: uncultured bacterium
Lineage: Bacteria
Description: bacterial SSU rRNA
Rfam family: Bacterial small subunit ribosomal RNA
Source: RNAcentral
GGCAGCAGUGGGGAAUUUUCCGCAAUGGGCGAAAGCCUGACGGAGCAACGCCGCGUGAGGGAUGAAGGCCUCUGGGCUGUAAACCUCUUUUAUCAAGGAAGAAGAUCUGACGGUACUUGAUGAAUAAGCCACGGCUAAUUCCGUGCCAGCAGCCGCGGUAAUACGGGAGUGGCAAGCGUUAUCCGGAAUUAUUGGGCGUAAAGCGUCCGCAGGCGGUCUGUCAAGUCUGCUGUUAAAGCGUGGAGCUUAACUCCAUUUCGGCAGUGGAAACUGACAGACUAGAGUGUGGUAGGGGCAGAGGGAAUUCCCGGUGUAGCGGUGAAAUGCGUAGAUAUCGGGAAGAACACCAGUGGCGAAGGCGCUCUGCUGGGCCAUAACUGACGCUCAUGGACGAAAGCCAGGGGAGCGAAAGGGAUUAGAUACCCCUGUAGUCCUGGCCGUAAACGAUGAACACUAGGUGUCGGGGGAAUCGACCCCCUCGGUGUCGUAGCCAACGCGUUAAGUGUUCCGCCUGGGGAGUACGCACGCAAGUGUGAAACUCAAAGGAAUUGACGG